AUCAGAUCUAUUAAAACACUUGGGUAUUGUCUCAUGUUGUAAAUCUGAUUAAAGGUUGUUGUUGGUGCUUUGAAUAUAUUUUAAUAUAAUAUAAUAAUUACUGUAACUUUCUUUUCUGCUCUCUCAGUCCCUGCUGUACAAUUGUACAAGCAUUUACAUACUACAUUUAGACACAAGAUGUACAUUUAGAUUUAAUGUAGUGUGAAUUAAAAAAUUAAAUGUCACUGUGUGUAGUACUCUUAAUUGUCAAUAAAAAAGAGUUGCACCAUAAUUAUACUUGACUACAGUAAUUGGUGAGUGACUAAUUAUUAUCAUAACUUCAAUUUGUUCUCCAUUUUGGCAUCCUGUGCCAUCUCUUCUGGCACCUAUAUUAAACAAAUAAAUCCUGCAAAAA
Molecule: non-coding RNA, 394 nt
Organism: Paramuricea clavata
Lineage: Eukaryota; Metazoa; Cnidaria; Anthozoa; Malacalcyonacea; Plexauridae
Source: the annotation of a GenBank genome assembly